This 30-nucleotide non-coding RNA is filed under the name Mus musculus (house mouse). The record is from RNAcentral. Lineage: Eukaryota; Metazoa; Chordata; Mammalia; Rodentia; Muridae.
GUAAUCUCUUGAGUAAAAAAGCCUAAGGUC